Molecule: ribosomal RNA, 439 nt
Filed under: uncultured bacterium
Lineage: Bacteria
Description: partial 16S ribosomal RNA
Rfam family: Bacterial small subunit ribosomal RNA
Source: RNAcentral
CUACGGGGGGCUGCAGUGAGGAAUAUUGCACAAUGGGGGGAACCCUGAUGCAGCAACGCCGCGUGGAGGAUGACGCAUUUCGGUGUGUAAACUCCUUUUAUAUGUCAAGAAAAUGACGGUAGCAUAUGAAUAAGCACCGGCUAACUCCGUGCCAGCAGCCGCGGUAAUACGGAGGGUGCAAGCGUUACUCGGAAUCACUGGGCGUAAAGGGCGCGUAGGCGGGCUUGUAAGUCAGGUGUGAAAUCCUACAGCUUAACUGUAGAACUGCACUUGAAACUACGAGCCUAGAGUAUGGGAGGGGCAGAUGGAAUUAGUGGUGUAGGGGUAAAAUCCGUAGAUAUCACUAGGAAUACCUAAAGCGAAGGCGAUCUGCUGGAACAUAACUGACGCUAAGGCGUGAAAGCGUGGGGAGCAAACAGGAUUAGAUACCCUCGUAGUC